GCGCUUGGGCAAUCGGCCCUGCUCGGCGGCUGUUCUCGUGUCGUCUUUCGCUGUUGCGGGCACACAUCUUCUGACUACGGAUCAGAAGGUUGUGGGUUCAAGUCCCGCCGAGCGCA
Molecule: transfer RNA, 116 nt
Filed under: Actinomycetota bacterium
Lineage: Bacteria; Bacillati; Actinomycetota
Description: tRNA-OTHER
Source: RNAcentral